RNAcentral lists this ribosomal RNA (491 nucleotides) under uncultured bacterium. RNAcentral describes it as "partial 16S ribosomal RNA". It matches the Rfam family "Bacterial small subunit ribosomal RNA", at positions 29 to 507 of the family's 1533-position model. The record is from RNAcentral.
GUGAACGCUGGCGGUAGGCCUAACACAUGCAAGUCGAACGGCAGCACAGUAAGAGCUUGCUCUUACGGGUGGCGAGUGGCGGACGGGUGAGGAAUACAUCGGAAUCUACUUUUUCGUGGGGGAUAACGUAGGGAAACUUACGCUAAUACCGCAUACGACCUACGGGUGAAAGCAGGGGAUCUUCGGACCUUGCGCGAUUGAAUGAGCCGAUGUCGGGUUAGCUAGUUGGCGGGGUAAAGGCCCACCAAGGCGACGAUCCGUAGCUGGUCUGAGAGGAUGAUCAGCCACACUGGAACUGAGACACGGUCCAGACUCCUACGGGAGGCAGCAGUGGGGAAUAUUGGACAAUGGGCGCAAGCCUGAUCCAGCCAUACCGCGUGGGUGAAGAAGGCCUUCGGGUUGUAAAGCCCUUUUGUUGGGAAAGAAAAGCAGCAGGUUAAUACCCCGCUGUUCUGACGGUACCCAAAGAAUAAGCACCGGCUAACUUCGUG